This is a long non-coding RNA of Panthera uncia (snow leopard), 3979 nucleotides long. RefSeq lists it as uncharacterized. The transcript has 7 exons. The record is from RefSeq and is a predicted model, not a curated record. Lineage: Eukaryota; Metazoa; Chordata; Mammalia; Carnivora; Felidae.
GUUUGCAUUUGUCCACCACAAAGAGACUGCAAAUGCCAAAAGGCCCGAGUUCACUUUGAAAGUCCAAACCCACAAACUCUGAUUGGCUUCUACACUUGGCCAGAUAUAUUCUCCAGGGCUCCAGACCUUACAUCAGUGGGGCACCAUGAUGUCAUAAUGAAGAGUGUGUACUGUGGGGAAAGACUACCUGAAUUCAAAUCCUUCAACUGUAUCUUUGAAUAAAUUGCCUCAUCUUACUUAGCCUCAGUACUUCAUCUUCUAAGGAGGCGGUAAGAAUACCAACUUCCUUGUGAUACUGUAUGUGGAGUAUUUAGAAACCUGACACACAAUAAGUAAUCUAAGAGAAGAUUGGGGAGAAGUAACUUUUUGCUUCUGGAACUGAUGAAAGUAGAUGAUCCAGGCACUCCACCCUGCCUCACUGCCUAACUCACAGCAACUCAAAAUCUCUUGUGCCUACUGCCCUUGAUAUACUCCACGAUUCUUCCAUCAACUGCAGAGUCUGUAUUUUGAAAACCUCUGCCACCACCAGUGAACAGACCUGGACUAGCUUUCUGGAGAGACAUGAGUUAUAUUGGAGAAGAGCUAAGAUAUCUAAACACGGACAUUCUAACCUACACAGCCCCAACUACCCUUCCAGCAAGAAACUACAUUUCCCAGACUUCUUUGCCAACUAGCUUCAGGUAGGUUGAAGAGCAAAAGGAAGGCGGAAGCUAGAGUAGCUGUCCCUUUCUUGGUCAGCUACGGAUGGAACUCCAGCAACACCCUCAUUUGCUCUAGCUGCCACCAAACAGGUCUGCCCUCUGUGGUACGGACUCCUGGCAGGUCUGACUUCCUGAACCUCAAAGUAUCAUUUCCGCUCUGCUUCUCGACCUUGCCAAAAUCUCUGGAGUCUGGGGUACAAAAGACUGAUAUUUUGCUUGAGGAGGGGUUCUAGGGAGGACACACACAUGUUAUCCUGACAAACACAUUACUAUAAAAAGCUUAUCAUAGAUAGCCACAAAGCAGAAAGAAGUACCAUUUCUCUCCAAAAUGAAAGAAUGGAACAUUCUCCAGAAGAAAAAACAGAAUGCAGGACAAGGCUUGAUUGAUGAUGCUUUUUGUUUGGAAGUGCAAUUUCAGGACAGCAAAAAAGAGAAAAAAGAAGUGCUUUCACAUUCAUAGUGCAUUUAAUCAUCUCAACAGAAAUAAAGGAAGUAAGUGAUCUAAUUGAAAUUUUGAGAAGCUGCUUUUAAAUACCAUUUUUGGAUGUCCUUAGUGUUUCCAUGAUCAAUAAAUGAGUGAAGGCACUCAGGCAGGUGAAUGGCCGGCCCAGGUCUAUGUAGUGGGAGAGUGGCACAGCGGGAUUCAGAAUCAGGCUGAACUGUUGAGCCGAUGGGCCUUCCCCAUAACUGCAGACUGGCAGCACACGGCUUCUAGAGGGAUCUCUGGGACAAGGAUUAUUAUUCUAGUUUUGAAGAAAAAGGAAAUAGAUGCAUUGGAGAGUUUACUAAUCUGCCUAAAAACAAACUAGCAGAUCAAAUCCAAUUAUGAAAAGAAAGAAAAAAAUAACAAAAAUCAAAUGAUCAUAGUGGGUUCGGGAAAAGCAUUUGACAAAAUACAACAGCCAUUUAUAAUUUUUAAAAAAGCACAAAACUCAGCAAACAAGGAAUAGAGGGGAACUUCCUCAACUUGAAAAAGAACAUCUGCAAAAACUUCAGCAAACUUCAUAUUUAAUGGCAAGAAACUCAAAGAUUUCCCACUAAGAUUUGGAAUAGGCAAGGAUGUCCCUUCUUGCCAGUUCCUUUUAACAUUGUAUUAGAAGUCCUAGCUAAUGCAUGAAGAGAAAAAAGGAAAUAAAAGGUAUACAGAUUGAGAAGGAAGAAACAAAUGCUUUAUUUGCAAAUGACAUGAUUGUCCAUGUAGUAAAUACAAAAGAAUCAACAAAAAUACUUUGAACUAAUAAACUAUUGUAGCAAGGUUGCAGGAUUAACAAAGUUAAUCUGCAAAAGUCAAUUGCUUUCUUGUAUGCCAGCAAUUAGCAAGUGGAAUUUGAAAUUACAAACACAGUAACAUUUAUAUCAUCAUCCCUUCCCCAAUGAAAUACUUAGGUAUUAGCCUAACAAAAUACGUACAAGAUUUGUAUGAAGAAGACUACAAAACUCUGAAGAGAGAAAUCAAAGAAUAAUGAAAUAAAUGGGCAGUUACUUCACAUUCAUUGAUAGAAAGACAAUAUCAUCAAGAUGUCUGUUCUUCCCAACUUGAUCUAUAGAUUCAAUGCAAUCUGAAUGAAAAACAUAGGAAAUUAUUUUGUGGACAAAUCAAUUUAAAGUUUCUAUGGAGUGGCAAAAGACCCAAAACAGCCAACACAAUAUUGGCAGAGAAAAAAAAAAGUUGGAGGAAUGACACUAUCCAACUUCAAUAUUUAUUGUAAAGCUACCUGAAUCAAGAUAGUGUGGUAUGGGUCAAAGAAUAAACAGAGUAAUAGAACAGAAUGGAGAGCCCAGAAAUAGGCCCACACAGAUAUAGAGAACUGAUCUUUGACAAAGGAGCAAAGACAAUAAAAUAGAACAAGCAUGGUCUUUUCAACAAAUAGCACUAAAACAACUGAACAUCUCUUUGCAAAAAAACUGAGCCAAGACACAGACUUUACAGCCUUUACAAAAAUUAACUUAAAAUGGAUGGUAGACAUAAAUGUAAAACACAAAACUAUAAAAUUCCUAGAACAAUAGGAGAAAAUAUAUAUGAUCUUGGGUUUGGCCAUCACUUUUUAGAUGCAACACUAAAGAUAAGAUCCAUGAAAGAACUAAUUGAUAAUUCAGUUUUUCCGUAAACCUAAAACUGCCAUAAAAAAUAAAGUCUGUUUAAAACAAGCAAACAAACAAACAAACAAACAAACCUGCAACAGAUGAAGAGUGGAUGGGGAUGAGGUUUAAAAAAAAGAAAAGAAAAGAAAAAGAGUAGCAGACCCCUAGAGAGAGAGCACUGAAUGGGGACCUGACCUUGGAGAAUUGCUUCUAGACCCUGCUUUCCAAUUAGUUAGCAUUACCUUGGGAAAGUAGCAACUUCCCUAGGCUGCAUUUCCUCUUAAGAAAGUAAGCAUGUAGAAUAGGUGAUCUCUAAGCCUCUUUUAACCCUCCCACAUGCUCAGUUUUGGAACAAAGUAAUCAAGGAUACUCUUGGGGGGCUCACGUAGGUGCUAGGAGUCCUGAGGAACUCAAUGAGUCCUCUUGCCCCAAAUUAUUACCUUCUUUACUUGGUGUGUCCAAUAGUAGUGACUCACUUUUUGUGUUAUAAAGUCUAUGUCUCUGCAUAUAGUAAAAGCAAAUCCGGGGUGCCUGUGUGGCUCAGUCAGUUAAGCAUUUAACUUCAGCUCAAGUCAUGAUCUCACAGCUCCUGAGUUGAAGCCCUGCAUAGGGCUCUGUCCUGCAUAGGGCUCUGUGUGGCUCAGAGCCUGGAGUCUGCUUUGGAUUCUGUGUCUCCCUCUCUCUGCCCCUCCCCUGCUUGCGCUUCUCUCUCUUUCUCUCUCUCUCUCUCUCUCUCUCUCUCUCAAAAAUAAACAGUAAAAAAAAUAAUAAUAAUAAAAAGCAGAUUAAUCCCUGCUUUCUAAUACAACUACCCUUAAGAAUUAUAUCUUCAGGCAUAGGUUAGUUAGUGUGCAUUUCGUCAGGGCAAAUCCAGUAUGUAUCAGAGCAAAAUCUAGUAUGUAUCAGGUGUUCAAUAUAUUUGUUAAGUAAAUGGGUGGAUGAAUCAAUAAUUUAAAGGAGACGGGUGCAGAGGUGUGUAGAGCUGUAGGUGCACAGAAUUGUUUAGAGUCAUGGAAAGAGGCAUGAGCCCUAGAACACGGAAUAUAUGGAGAGAAGCUCCAGAGAUAGUUUUGCCUGCUUCACACUUAUGCUUGAGACUUGCCCUGGGAACCCAUUCCAUCCCCAUUUUUCAUCAGGCAUUCAUUUAUUAAAGGGAUGCCUGGGUGGCUCAGUGGGUUAAGCAGCUGACUCUUUUC